Molecule: microRNA, 22 nt
Filed under: Gallid alphaherpesvirus 2
Lineage: Duplodnaviria; Heunggongvirae; Peploviricota; Herviviricetes; Herpesvirales; Orthoherpesviridae
Description: mdv1-miR-M10-3p
Gene: mdv1-miR-M10-3p
Source: miRBase by way of RNAcentral
UCGAAAUCUCUACGAGAUAACA